This 2648-nucleotide long non-coding RNA is filed under the name Bemisia tabaci. Its description in RNAcentral is "lncRNA ENSSSA1UGG001006". Lineage: Eukaryota; Metazoa; Arthropoda; Insecta; Hemiptera; Aleyrodidae. The record is from RNAcentral.
GAAGCAUCAAAGAAAGUCAUUCUUCGAAGAACACUGCUCCUCAGAAUCAAAAGCCCACAAAUCAAAGGCCUGCAGUGGCAAAAAUCGAUGGCAAUCAAUCUCGGCCAAAAAAUGUUCCUCAAAAUGGAAAUUCUGUGAACAAACGGCCCACGGUAGGAAAAAUUGUUUCUCAGAAUCGAAAUCUUAUUAACCAACGGCCCACAACAGGAAACGUCACAGUUGGAAAUCGAUCUCGGAUAAACAGUAUUCCUCAGAAUAGAAAUCCUCCGAAUCAACGACCAGCAGCAGCAAACAUUAAUAAAAAUGGACCUGCGAUAAAGAAUGUUUCUCAGGUUCUCCGAGAUAUCAGAAAUAAUCUAAAUCGUCAACCUGCGGCAGGAAACAUCAACAGAAAUACAUCUCGGACUAAUACUGUUCCUAACCAGCACACUGAUGUUCCAAUAAUGUUGCUUCGUGUAGAAGGUAAACUAGACAAAGUUUUAGAAAAAAUCGACUUCGCAACUGGUGCUACACAACGUUGCAACAAGAAACUCACAGGUGUCAAGUUAGCUGUUGAUGAUAGUUGCGAAGUUCUGAAGGAUGUUCAACUGAAAAUGUCAAGUAUGGUGAUUACCGACACAUGUAACCAUAGUGAUGAAGUGAAACUGCGGUUUCCAGUAAAAUCAACCGAUGAACUUAAACUUCUAGAAGACGAUCUUUUUGAUCCUGAUCUACGCAAAAAAUGCGUAAGUUCUUGAAUUAUUGACCUUUUCUCACCUUCUAAGUUUUUAAAUCGGUAAGAGAGAGAAACCUAUUUUUGGAAAAAAGCUACAGUAAUCUCGAAGAACUCAAAUUUUAUUUAAAAUAUGGAAAACAUAAACAGCACAGAAUUCACUAAUCUUGAAAAUCAGAGAUUGACUGUUGUAAUUUUUAAGACAAGAAAGAAACUUAGUUCCAAAAUAGCGUUCUCUCUAAUAGACCCUCUAAAGUCUGUUACAAAUUCUGUGAAUCCAUCUAUUUUAGAAUAGGACUCUAAUAAUCGAAACGUUAGUCUCUUUUAACUUUUUUCAUUUUUCAGUCUCAAGGCUGCCAGAACCAUAAAUGAACAGAUGUAUAUUAUGCAUCAACAUUUGCGUUACUUUUUGUUCUAGAUUUCAUAUUUCAGCAAGAUGAAUACUAAGUCCCUUGGCGACUCAGUUCGAAAAAUAGCCAAGCAGAUUAUGACCGAUAAACUGGCAUUACAGUAUUCAUGGACUGGACGAAAAGAGGGCAAAUCUGCCUUAGCAGAUUACCCCACGUUCAUCACUGUUUUACAAGGUGAUCAAUUAUUAACGCUCAUUAAAUGUGACAAUGGGACUCUCAAAAGUGUUACGAAAGGACACAGUUCUCGGCUCUCCCAUUUGAUAAUGCCUCUUUCCUUAGAAAUUUCCAAGUGAUGACCUUAUGAAGGUUCUGUGUGUAAAUUUGCUACAAUUUUGAAUAAAAAUUCAGUCAUUUCAACCUCAGUUUAGCAGAAAGCUUGCGACCUUACAGGUCUUCCCAUUUUCAAAAUUUCCUUUUCGAAGCCUUCCCAUUUCCGCAUGCCACUGACCUUGAACGGACGGGCUGAGCAGUCGAGGAGUUUUCACACCUCUGGAGUUAUGCUGUAACUGUAACUUUUAUGUAAUAUUCCAAGCCCCAAAGAAAUUCCUCCUUUCAAAAACUCUGCUUUGGUACUGGAUUUGAAUUUUUCUUGAAUCAUGUAUGAAUAUCUUGUCACAUCGUUUUUUUUUUUUUCCUCUAGAUUUCUUAAUUCAACAGAAGAUUGUAAUUUUCAUUUUUUGUUCUGAAAAUUUCAGAGGCAGUCAGAUUCUCUCAUAAAGUGACAAACGAAGAUAUUAAUGUUCCUUUCAAAUUGUGGCUGGUAAAAGCAAAAGAGCGGUUAACUAACCAAGGUAAGAAUUAAUGCAUUCAGACCCUCUUUCAGGGCGCCCAAAGUCAGAUUUCUCCACUUCCACUUUUAUUUGCUUGAAACCUAUGCUCCUAAAUUUCUCAAAUUCUAUGGAUGCCAUCUUUUUAAAUAUUCUGGGUGGAAUACUUCAAGAAUGAGCCGUCAGUUGGUUCUUUAACAGAUAAAUACAAUUGACCGAGUAUCUCAGAAGAACUGCUGAUCCCUCAGGUGGAGGGAUGUAGAGGCUAGGAGGCAGGGACCGAGCCUACUUGCGUGCUGCUGAACACCAAUUAAGCAUCCCUGAAUCCCUGUCUACACGGGGUACAUGCCGUUUUGGCCACUAACUUCAUCCGCUGCUUCUAACUUCUGAAGACUGUGGUCUUUUGCUGUUUGUUCCAAAACUAGGCAGGGACAGUAGUUGUCUAAAUUAGAUUUUCUCCCUGCACGAAGCAUUAUAAAAGUGUGUUCUCAUGUUCUAUUGACAGAUGAAGGUAUUUGAAACCUGGCUCUAAAAUCUGCUCUACAACUAGCAGUUUUUUAACUUUAGAUAGAAGUAUCAUGGUUUGUUGUGCCUUGAAAAGUCCUUGAACAUACUUGAUAUUUUUUUCGCAUUUUCAAGUCCUUGAAUUUAAUUCUGAGAUUUAGCCCCGUUGUACUGGAAAGUUCAUGAAUUUUACAUCAUCCUGUGACUUCCUGUCUUUUUGUAUCAUUUUGGCAUUCAAUUAUGGUGUUGGAAAAU